GACGAACGCUAGCGGCGUGCCUAAUACAUGCAAGUGGGACGCAAGGGAACACACUGUGCUUGCACACCGUGUUUUCUUGAGUCGCGAACGGGUGAGUAACGCGUAGGUAACCUGCCUAUUAGCGGGGGAUAACUAUUGGAAACGAUAGCUAAUACCGCAUAAUAUUAAUUAUUGCAUGAUAAUUGGUUGAAAGAUGCAAGCGCAUCACUAGUAGAUGGACCUGCGUUGUAUUAGCUAGUUGGUAAGGUAAGAGCUUACCAAGGCGACGAUACAUAGCCGACCUGAGAGGGUGAUCGGCCACACUGGGACUGAGACACGGCCCAGACUCCUACGGGAGGCAGCAGUAGGGAAUCUUCGGCAAUGGACGAAAGUCUGACCGAGCAACGCCGCGUGAGUGAAGAAGGUUUUCGGAUCGUAAAGCUCUGUUGUAAGUCAAGAACGUGUGUGAGAGUGGAAAGUUCACACAGUGACGGUAGC
This 477-nucleotide ribosomal RNA is filed under the name Streptococcus mutans. RNAcentral describes it as "bacterial SSU rRNA". It matches the Rfam family "Bacterial small subunit ribosomal RNA", at positions 28 to 479 of the family's 1533-position model. Lineage: Bacteria; Bacillati; Bacillota; Bacilli; Lactobacillales; Streptococcaceae. The record is from RNAcentral.